CUACGGGGGGCUGCAGUUAGGAAUAUUUUGCAAUGCGCGCAAGCGUGACAAAUUGAGCCAGAGUGUUUUUCAAAUGAAAGACUUUUGCCGAAUGUAAAAAGUUCGGCGAAUAAGGACUGGGUAAGACUAGUGCCAGCCGCCGCGGUAAUACUAGCGUCCAAGUCGCAGCCAUUUUUAUUGGGUCUAAAACAUCCGUAGCUUGCUUAAUAAGUUUCUUGUGAAAUUUUAUAUCUCAAAUAUGAAAAGUGCAAGAAGUACUGUUGAGCUAGAGACUGGAAGACGUAAGAAGUAUGUUCGAAGUAGCGGUAAAAUGUGUUAAUCUCAGACAGACUAACAACAGCGAAGGCAUCUUACGAGGACAGUUCUGACAGUAAGGGAUGAAAGCUAGGGGCGCAAAACGGAUUAGAUACCCCCGUAGUC
This 420-nucleotide ribosomal RNA is filed under the name uncultured archaeon. Its description in RNAcentral is "partial 16S ribosomal RNA". It matches the Rfam family "Archaeal small subunit ribosomal RNA", at positions 323 to 746 of the family's 1478-position model. The record is from RNAcentral.